RNAcentral lists this ribosomal RNA (498 nucleotides) under uncultured Glomeromycotina. RNAcentral describes it as "partial small subunit ribosomal RNA". It matches the Rfam family "Eukaryotic small subunit ribosomal RNA", at positions 591 to 1092 of the family's 1831-position model. The record is from RNAcentral. Lineage: Eukaryota; Fungi; Glomeromycota.
CCAAUAGCGUAUAUUAAAGUUGCUGCAGUUAAAAAGCUCGUAGUUGAAUUUCGGGAUCAAUAUGUCGGUCGUGCCUCGGUACGUACUGGCUUAUUGGUUUCUCCUUUCUGAAGAACCAUGAUGUCAUUUAUUUGGUGUCGUGGGAAAUCAGGACUGUUACUUUGAAAAAAUUAGAGUGUUUAAAGCAGGCUCACGCUUGAAUACAUUAGUAUGGAAUAAUGAAAUAGGACGUUUGAUUCUAUUUUGUUGGUUUCUAGGAUCGACGUAAUGAUUAAUAGGGAUAGUUGGGGGGAUUAGUAUUCAAUUGUCAGAGGUGAAAUUCUUGGAUUUAUUGAAGACUAACUACUGCGAAAGCAUUUGCCUAGGAUGUUUUCAUUAAUCAAGAACGAAAGUUAGGGGAUCGAAGACGAUCAGAUACCGUCGUAGUCUUAACCAUAAACUAUGCCGACUAGGGAUCGGAUGAUGUUAAUUUUUUAAUGACUCAUUCGGCGCCUUACG